This 862-nucleotide ribosomal RNA is filed under the name uncultured Neocallimastigales. RNAcentral's name for it is "partial large subunit ribosomal RNA". It matches the Rfam family "Eukaryotic large subunit ribosomal RNA", at positions 1 to 627 of the family's 3401-position model. The record is from RNAcentral. Lineage: Eukaryota; Fungi; Neocallimastigomycota; Neocallimastigomycetes; Neocallimastigales.
UACUAGAGUAGCACUCGCAUAUCAAUAAGCGGAGGAAAAGAGGGCUAUUACCUACGCUUAGGAUGUUGACGCGCGUGUGUGCGUGAGUCUAUACAUGACUCUGCGCAUAUCAAUAAGCGGAGGAAAAGAAACUAACAAGGAUUCCCCUAGUAACGGCGAGUGAAGCGGGAAGAGCUCAAAUUUGAAAUCUUAAAGGGUUUCCCUUUACGAAUUGUAGUUUAAAGAAGUGUUUUCUGUUGAGGUUUUGGUAAAAGUUCUUUGGAAUAGGACAUCAUAGAGGGUGAGAAUCCCGUAUUUGACCUUUACUUUCAACUUUGUGAUACACUUUCAAAGAGUCGGAUUGUUUGGGAAUGCAGUCCAAAAUGGGUGGUAAAUUUCAUCUAAAGCUAAAUAUUGGCGAGAGACCGAUAGCGAACAAGUACCGUGAGGGAAAGAUGAAAAGAACUUUGAAAAGAGAGUUAAACAGUACGUGAAGUUGUCAAAAGGGAAGCGUUUGACACCAGUGUUGUUUUUCUGAAAAUCAAUUAAAGAACUGUUUAUGCUAAGCUGUUUAGACUUUAUCAGCUAUCUGUUUAGUUUUGAGCUUUUCUUUAAUGCACUUUUCAGUUAACAAGUCAACAUCAAUUUCUUUUGCUGUAAAAAAGCUUGAGGAAGGUGGCUUGAGAUUCGUCUUAAGUGUUUAUAGCCUCUUGCCUAUGCAGUCGGAGAGAUUGAGGUCUGCAGCGUAGAUCCUUCGGGGCUAAAUGCAUUUGUGCUAAGUUAUAGCAUUUUAUAGACAACUUGUUGACUAUGAUUUGUCUUGUAGCUUACUCGCUUAUGUUAUUUUACCUACGCUUAGGAUGUUGAACUCUAUCACACACAG